Molecule: non-coding RNA, 235 nt
Filed under: unclassified sequences
Description: FuFi-1 RNA
Rfam family: FuFi-1 RNA
Source: Rfam by way of RNAcentral
UGCGAUAGGGCAAGGGGCAGAGCCGGGACUGCCAAAGUGAAGCGGCGCGCCACAGAAGCAUGAGAACCAUUCAUGCCUGUCAUUGCCGACGCCGGUACAGCCACGCAGGAUCAUACCCUGUAUAAAAAAUGGGCUGUAUCACCGCACAAAGAAUGCGGGGCCUGGCGGUGCAGCGCGUUCUGGUAAAAAAACUCGGAGGGAAAUGCACGUAUGAUGGUUCCAUGCGUGCGUUUUC